CCUACGGGGUGCAGCAGUCGAGAAUCAUUCACAAUGGGGGAAACCCUGAUGGUGCGACGCCGCGUGGGGGAAUGAAGGUCUUCGGAUUGUAAACCCCUGUCAUGUGGGAGCAAAUUAAAAAGAUAGUACCACAAGAGGAAGAGACGGCUAACUCUGUGCCAGCAGCCGCGGUAAUACAGAGGUCUCAAGCGUUGUUCGGAAUCACUGGGCGUAAGGCGUGCGUAGGCUGUUUCGUAAGUCGUGUGUGAAAGGCGCGGGCUCAACCCGCGGACGGCACAUGAUACUGCGAGACUAGAGUAAUGGAGGGGGAACCGGAAUUCUCGGGGUAGCAGUGAAAUGCGUAGAUAUCGAGAGGAACACUCGUGGCGAAGGCGGGUUCCUGGACAUUAACUGACGCUGAGGCACGAAGGCCAGGGGAGCGAAAGGGAUUAGAUACCCUAGUAGUC
RNAcentral lists this ribosomal RNA (446 nucleotides) under uncultured bacterium. RNAcentral's name for it is "partial 16S ribosomal RNA". It matches the Rfam family "Bacterial small subunit ribosomal RNA", at positions 338 to 795 of the family's 1533-position model. The record is from RNAcentral.